AAAGAACUAAGAAGAAAAUCUAUUCCAGCACUUUGGAAUAAAAUUUUGUUCCCAAAAAUUAAUUUGUUUAUUUUAUUGAUAUAUAAAGAAAAUGUUAUUUAUUUAUUCAGCAAACAUUUAUUAAAUACCUAGUAAAUAUAUAGCCACUAUGUCAGGCACAGGAAUAAUAAUGAGAAUAAAGUGUGGUCCCUGCUCUGAAGUUGCUGACAAUCUAGGAGACUGACAAGUAAACCGGUGAUUACAUACACAGUAACAAAGGCUAUAAUACUAGAAUACACAUGGGACUAUGUGAUGGUAGUUUGGGUUUCACCAGUUCCUCUUGGAUUUAUCUCUUCUUCUUUGGCUCCAGAACCAAGGAAUUAGACCUAUUUUUGUCUUUAACUGGGUAGUUUAAAUCAUGAAAUUUUCAAAAAUAUUGUAGAGAUGUAAGAAAUCACUUUGAAUUAUGGAGGACACUAGAAAUAGUAAUUUUUUACAGAGAAAGGGCCUCCUACCAGUAUAGUCGCUUUGAGGGUUUUGAACCUGUAAAGUUCUUUGCCAUAUUUUUUCUAUGCUAGCCACUUUUUUUCUAUUUUUUUCUUUGUUUCUCUUCUCCACUCUAUCAUCUAGAGACCUGCCUUCUUCCCAAUGAAAGGGUGUUUUGCAAAUUCUAAUGAUGAUUUAUAGGUAAAGAGAGAAAAUGAUUUUUUUUUAACCUUCAAGUUACAUACCAAGAAAAAUGAAUAUAAGCUUUCAUGGAAGUAAUUGAAAAUGCAGAUAAUUUUAAUUCCAUUCCAUUUUUCAGAAUUCUCAAUCAUAAUCCUUUGACCACAGUUGAAGAUUCUUAUCUUUUUAAAUUGCCAGCAUUAAAAUAUUUAGACAUGGGAACAACACAAGUGUCACUUACAACAAUUGAAAGCAUCCUCAUGAUGACCCUGGAAUUGGAAAAACUAUAAAGUUGCUAUGAGUAUUGGUGUACAAGUCUUUGUAUGGAUGUAUACUUCCAUUUCUCUUGGGUAAAUACCUGCAAGUAGAAUGGCUGGAUCAUUGGAUCUUACGUGGCCUGCUGCCUCUGCCAAUUUAAAAAUAUUAUUGAGGUUGUCUGUAAGACAUUCAAGCUACGUGGUGACAAUGAAUGCCUGACAGACGUAACACGUUGUGCAUUCUCUCUUCACAGUCUUUUCCUGGUUUGGCCUUCUGUAUUCUGUCUGAGUCUUCCCAAACGCAGCAGUGGGCGGUCCUGGGUUCUCUGCCAUCAUCAAGUUUUAUUCAGCAAGGGAUGCCCACAGAGCCCAAAAGGCAUGCGACCAGAAGCAGCUUUUUCACACAUCUCCAGUGAAGGUUCAUCUCGGCACCAGACAUAAGGCGGUUCAACAUAAUACACUUGCCCUAAAGAGCUCCAGAUGCCAAGAAUUGGCAAAUUACUACUUUGGUUUCCGUGGGUGGUGAAAAAGGAUCAUCAAGAAAGUGGUAAAACAGCUGUGGCAUAUAGACCCUGUGAAGAGGUCACAGAUGCUAGAACCGAAGAGGAACUACAGGAUUUAAUUCAAGUAUGUGGAGAUAAAAGCUCAAGGGGUACACAGCCAGUGUAGCCAUAAUUCAAAACAACCAGCAGGAUAUGGAAGACUUCAGCAUAUCUACUCAACUCUGUGUUCCUUAGGAAAAGGUCACCUACUUUUCAUGUCAGCCAUUUGGCCAAAGGGAGGAAGAAUGUCUCUCAGACUUCAGCUUUGAGGAGGAAGAGUUCAGAUUGUCAGAACUGGACUAGCACUUUUGAAUUUCCCAGAAUGCCAGGUCCUUUGGUUUCCACGGGAAGCUCUGCAUUGUUCCCAACACCCCU
Molecule: non-coding RNA, 1819 nt
Organism: Delphinapterus leucas (beluga whale)
Lineage: Eukaryota; Metazoa; Chordata; Mammalia; Artiodactyla; Monodontidae
Source: RefSeq, a predicted model, not a curated record